CAAAUGAAUUGACGGGACCGCACAAGCAGCGGAGCGUGUGGUUUAAUUCGUUGCUACACGAAGAACCUUACCUGGGUUUGACAUAUAGGUUGUAGGGAACUGAAAAGGGACCGACCCUUCGGGGAGCCUAUACAGGUGUUUGCAUGGCUGUCGUCAGCUCGUGUCGUGAGAUGUUCGGUUAAGUCCGCUAACGAGCGCAACCCUCGUCGUAUGUUAUAUGUGUCAUACGAGACUGCCGGUAAAAAGCCGGAGGAAGGUGAGGAUGAUGUCAAGUCAGCAUGACCUUUAUAUCCAGGGCUACACACACGCUACAAUGGUCUGUGCAAUGGGUAGCCAAGCCGCGAGGCGGAGCCAAUCCUGAAAGCAGGCCUCAGUUCAGAUUGCAGUCUGCAACUCGACUGCAUGAAGCCGGAGUUGCUAGUAACCGCAGGUCAGCAAUACUGCGGUGAAUACGUUCCCGGGUCUU
Molecule: ribosomal RNA, 466 nt
Filed under: uncultured Anaerolineaceae bacterium
Lineage: Bacteria; Bacillati; Chloroflexota; Anaerolineae; Anaerolineales; Anaerolineaceae
Description: bacterial SSU rRNA
Rfam family: Bacterial small subunit ribosomal RNA
Source: RNAcentral